Long non-coding RNA from Mya arenaria, 783 nucleotides. RefSeq lists it as uncharacterized. The record is from RefSeq and is a predicted model, not a curated record. NCBI's taxonomy places the organism in Eukaryota, Metazoa, Mollusca, Bivalvia, Myida, Myidae. The transcript is spliced from 7 exons.
AGUUUAUUCUCGAGUACAGAGGAGAACUAUGUAAACAGCAGUCUGAUGGUGAUGAAAUGUUCAAAUACCAUUUCAGACAUAACAACAAGGAAUACUGCAUCGAUGCCUCAAAAGAAACGUGUCUGGCAUGCAUGGUCAACGACUUGGACCGAUACACAAAGCCUAAUUGCAAAAUGGUUAAAGUUGUUGAUGACAGACAUCAACCAAGACUCUGUCUGUAUGCAACUGAAAUGAUCAGCAAAGACACUGAAUUGAGGUACGAUUAUGGUGUUGCUGAUGUACCUUGGAGAAAGCGAAAGAUGCUGUUAAAGAUGGUCAUACAGCUGCAGAUACUACAGAGGUCACAGAAACAUCUGAAGAUGCCCUCGGUGAAUCAGCAGAAGUCUUGGAACAUGCUUAUCAUGAUGCUGUAGGGAACAGUGGGACAGUUGCCCCAUCCACAGUUGCCCCAUCCACAGUUGUCUCUGAACAUGCUGAAGGGCCGCCUCAAGAUGCUGUUAAAGAUGGUCAUACAGCUGCAGAUACUACAGAGGUCACAGAAACAUCUGAAGAUGCCCUCGGUGAAUCAGCAGAAGUCUUGGAACAUGCUUAUCAUGAUGCUGUAGAAAUCAGAGGGAUAGUUUACCAUCCACAGUUGUCUCUGAACAUGCUGAAGGGCCGCCUCAAGCAAUGUUCAAGAUUUGACCCAGGAGCAGCUACAGUAUUAUGGUUGAUCAGAGUGAGAGGCAUCUGCGGAAAAUAUUUGGAGGAUAUAUUCUCUGCGAGAGACAUAUUGCAUUCAAG